Oxyura jamaicensis (ruddy duck) is the source of this 1851-nucleotide long non-coding RNA. RefSeq lists it as uncharacterized. The record is from RefSeq and is a predicted model, not a curated record. The transcript is spliced from 6 exons. Lineage: Eukaryota; Metazoa; Chordata; Aves; Anseriformes; Anatidae.
ACUAAUAUAUCUUAUGUGGAAGAAGCAACUCAAGCCUGUAUCUAGGCCCUUCUAUGUCAUUCUUACUCGCUGCUUACUUAAAAAGACUAAUAUAAGAUAUUUCCUGACUAUAUGAAUCUAAGCUAUUCUCUCUUGCCUGUGAAGGAGUGAAAUUUCAGAGAAAUUAAGAAAAAAAAAAAUAUUUUAUGUAAAGCCAUAGGAGGAAAUGCAAGCAGAUUUGAGUAUCCCUAGGCAGCAUUACAAACUCAGAUUUUAGAUUCCUUGCUACCUAGUGGCAUCCCUUGCUCUACUUAAUGCGGAGGUUACCCUGGGGACAGGUAGUUAUUGAAUUAGGGAUCCUCAGAGGCCAACACCCUGGACAAGCUGCAACCUAGAGCAAAGACACAGCUUGUUGCUGCAACUCAGGAUGCUCGAGAGAAGAGACCUAGAAACAAGUUUUAGACUCCAAAGAGGGUCUCAGGCUUUUCCAGGCAAGCAGGUCCCAGCUAUCCAAAAAGAAUCCUGCUUCUAAGGAGUGAAUGGCAAAGAAAAUAUGACAGAAAGGAAGGGCUGGGGGUGUUUGUUCUCAACUUUAAAUCUCCAAAGAAAUUGCCAAGGAACUGCCAAUGGACUUUUUGGAUUUGAAGCAUUCUUCUAAGAUAAAAGAAUGUGAUGGAGAGGUGAAAUGACAGCUACGGAGGGCAUACAAAGGAUGCUCCCCUGGAAUUUCAAGGAUAGAAACUAUUCCCAUGGAAGAUGCUCCCCAUUGAUAACUUUACAUUAGCACUGAUCAGCCAUUCAGUUGGAUAGUCGCAAACAGCUCUUCAGGAACUGUUGGAGGAUUUUGUUCAUUUUUGAAGCCUAUCCAAAGAUUUGCUGUGAACCACACUGAGCUAAUGUCAGCAAAUAAAGAAGCGGUGGUUUUAGACUUGAGCAUCUAAAUUCUCAUUAUUCCACAGACAGGAAUUUCCUGAGUGGAGCCUGUUUGGUUACCUCUGGGAAAAAGCUGCCAGUCAGGGUUGUGACAGGAGUCAACAAGGGAGCAGAAAGUUCAGCUCUUUGGGAAGAUGGUUUCCUGCAGCGUCACUUCAGUAUCCACCUUAUUUUAAUUUCCAUUCAUAAAUGCAGCCGUGAUGGAAAUAUGAGAGAGAGAUGGCCCUGCGGUGAUGCAGACAGAACGUGGUAAGGGCAAAUAGCUCCAAGGCACCAAGAGAGGAAGUCUAUAGGGCAAAAUUUCUGUGUUAAUUCACCGUGGAGCCUAAGAUAAAGGAAAAAAAAAAGGCGGCGGUGGGGGUAAAACUGGAAAAUUCAAACGAGUUUAUCAAUUUUGAGGAAUGCCCAACUUACACGGUCAAAACAAACAACAAGGAAUAAAAGCUACAAGAUAGUGAAUUUUAAAGCUUAAUUUUUUGUUUAUGAUGUGGGUUUGGGAUUCAUUUGAACAAGCCUUUUUUGCUAGAUCUACUGCAUUGAACAUAUGACUGAAAUACAUGUGUACUCUCUAAUAUGCUGCUUCUCUCAAAACAGUAAUUUAAGAUGAAUCUCAUUAAAAACCCCUUUCUGAACAGAUAAACAAAGUGGUAAUGUAUUUUUAAUGAGGUGAGGUGAUUUCUUGCUGUGCGAAUGUGCAGAGACCUGUAAAACUGCAGUUUUCUUUCCACCAUGUGAGGAUAAUCAUGAGUGUUUAUCAAUGCAUCAUUGUCCUAUUUACUGGUGCGACUGACCUAGUGAGCUACAUAUAAGAACUAGGGACUCAUCUGCCAAUAAAAAGAUGGCAGCCAUCAGAACUGGGGAGGAUUUCCUGAGGUUUCACCAUGCUCUGAAUAGUUUGUCAUGUAGAUUCCCACCUGGAAAUUCAAGAUGGUGGAAGAU